Chelonia mydas (Green sea turtle) is the source of this 2083-nucleotide long non-coding RNA. RefSeq lists it as uncharacterized. NCBI's taxonomy places the organism in Eukaryota, Metazoa, Chordata, Testudines, Cheloniidae. The record is from RefSeq and is a predicted model, not a curated record. The transcript is spliced from 3 exons.
AGAAUCUCAUCCACUAACUCCUGCAUCCAGCUCAAAAUUAUGGUUGUAUUAGAGCAUGUCUUUUAGAAGGACACCCGGUAUUGAUUUAAAGGCGCUACGAGUGAUGGAAAAAACAACCACAUCCCUAGUGUAUUCACGGCUCAUGAAAGUUGCCAGGAGCCUGAUGUCUUGAUUGAUCCGUGGAACAGGAACAGCAAGGCCAUGGCAGGGCUGGUUUCACAGCUGCCCAGCCAGUGGGCCUGUCCCUUUCAGACGCAGAGGAGGAAAUCCCUAAUUUCUGCAUCGAGCCCUCCUUGAGCAGAAGGUCCAUCGGCUUCCCAGGAGCUGAAGGUUUCGAGGAUCAUGCCCCAAGUUUACCUCUGUCAAGAUGGUUGUGGCAGUGCUUCUUCCUUGGCUCAAGUCACUGCAACACUAUGCACCAUAUGUCUUAUGAAACGCACAACAAAUGAGGAAUUUUUCCAUCCGGAGUUUCUCAUGAGCCCUCUGGGAGUUCUAAAUUCAUUGUUCUUAAAAAUGAGCAACUUGCAUGUUGUGGACUAGUCACAAAAGUGACAUGUACCCCUUUUCAGUGGCGGACUGGUGGGGAGGGGGAAAACCACCUAUGAGAGCAAAUUUGCAAAAUGGUCUGUUGCCAUGCAGCCCCAUCUAACAGUGAAAUAAAUACCUGGAAGCCAUUAAAGGGUUAAAUGUACAUGUUAUUGCAGGAGAUCCUCCCGAUAUCUGAACAGGGUAGGCUUGUUAACCCAAGGUUUAAGGCAGCUAAGUGAAGUAUUUCAGCCAUUCCUAGGUUAACUCCCCUAUUGGCUCCAAAGCAGUGCUCCUGUUCUGAAUGUAACAGGUUGCAAAGUGAUUAUUGUGUAAACCAGACAUGCAGAGAGAGCCCCUCCAAGCCAACUGCUUUGAAAUGACACUUUUCCAGUGAGUGAUAGCCAAGCACAUGGACUUGCAAAAAAGAUUUGAGGGUGUUUGAUACAGGGUGAGAGAAAUGUUGGUUCUGGAAGAAGGGGGCGCGGGAAGGGAAGCAGAGGCGGGAGAAGUGUUUUGGCUGGACAGUUUGAACUUGGGGCUGGGUAUCUGUUUUUUGUUUUGUUCAUUCUUAUUCAAAGUAUUAACAGAAAUGAUGCACCUGUUCUAAAUAGAUGAGGAAAGGCCACCCAGGGUGUAUGUCACUCUUUCUUCUCUAUAAAGAAUUAUCCUGCUCGAGAAGUCUUGACUACUCACAAGAUGGGAAGAUACUGGUUAGAUGAAAGGAUGUAGACAACUGGGGGCUUGGGGAGGGGCUUGAAACCCCAUCUCCCCCCCCCCAAAUGUAGAGAUUGCAUUAAUAAAAAACACUUGAGUUUGGAAUAGAAAUUAUUUUCUCACUUUAUUAAAAGUGGGCAAAUUUAGUCAUGAGACAAAACGCCUCAUUGAGACGAUAGGCAACAGUGGCUAUUUUUUCUUUUAACUCUAGCCCAUCCUCUCGCAAUAAAAAAAAAAAAGGCACUCUGCGCCCCUGUGCCGAGGCCAAAUGGUUUGCGAGUAGCGGUCCGUGAUCUUUCCUGUGUAAGUCGUGAAUUGCUUGUUCGCAGGGUGGUAAUCUGAAUGCAGCUCUAGGAGAGGUGACUAAAUGGGAAGACGCUCUUUAGUGGAGAGCCAAUGUUUUAUUUAAUAAACCACAGCUCACUACUUAUUCACUGGAAUCAAAUCAUGCGUUCAGUAUCACUUAUUACAAUCUAUUUACUUUCAUUACCAUUAGCCUUGCUCUUAUCACUCUGUUGCAUAUCCUGUAAACUCUUUGAUCCAAAACAUUUCACAUAUAAAAAGGACAGUUUAACCAUAUAGAGAUGGGAGAGCUAAAAACUAGCUGUCUGUACUAGGGGCUAGGAGCAGAGCUGAUGUACAGCCAGCAUAAGGGCUGUAUGCUGACCAGGCAUCCUCUUAGGGCUGUUUCUGCUAUCCUGAAGGCCAUUUGAUGCCAUCAGAAUGAGACUCAGACCCAAUAACAGAGAGUACGGUCCCUUUAAGGACUACGUAGACCCAGAGAGUCAAGAAGGUCACAUGAAUCCUAGAGAAGGAGCUGUGGCCUGGGGAGAGUUAAAGA